Molecule: long non-coding RNA, 3721 nt
Filed under: Brassica napus (rape)
Lineage: Eukaryota; Viridiplantae; Streptophyta; Magnoliopsida; Brassicales; Brassicaceae
Description: long non-coding RNA (BNAP_LNC004612)
Source: RNAcentral
GAAGUUCAGCGAGAGAAACAUUGAAAAUGGUGAUAAUAAUAACUAUGAGAAACAUGUUCCUACUUCAGAAACAACUCAUUCUCCUCAUCUCUCUGGUCUUCAAGAAGGCUCUCACAUUGGUUGGGGUCACUGGUUCACUCUCCGCGACCUUCAGCUGGCGACUAACCACUUCUCAAAAGAGAAUAUCAUCGGUGACGGUGGCUAUGGAGUUGUCUACCAUGGAACUUUAACUAACAAGACCCCUGUGGCUGUCAAGAAGCUGCUCAACAAUCCGUAAGUUUCUUUUUAUCUCUUCAAAUGCUCAUAUGAUCUUUGAGUUUGAUAUGAUUGUUUUUUUUUUAACAAUUAGAGGACAAGUUGAUAAAGACUUCAGAGUUGAAGUGGAAGCAAUAGGACACGUCAGGCACAAGAACUUAGUUCGGCUUCUUGGAUACUGCGUUGAAGGAACGCAUAGGAUGCUUGUUUAUGAGUACAUGAACAAUGGGAACUUAGAGCAGUGGCUUCAUGGAGACAUGAGUCACCAAGGUCAUCUCACCUGGGAGGCUAGAAUCAAAGUUCUUGUUGGCACUGCUAAAGCGUAAGCUUCCUUUCUUUUUUGGAAAAAACACACUUGAUGGUUCUUGGAAGCUCAUGAGAAUGUGUUCAUUUACACAGGUUGGCUUACCUUCAUGAAGCUAUUGAGCCUAAAGUGGUGCAUAGAGACAUUAAGUCAAGUAAUAUACUGAUGAAUGACAGCUUUGAUGCUAAGUUAUCUGACUUUGGUCUUGCUAAGUUGCUUGGAGCUGAUAAGAAUUAUGUGAGUACUAGAGUCAUGGGUACAUUCGGGUGAGUUAUACAAACUUUACAUUUUCAUAAUCUCCAUUGGUUACUUUUAAUAAUUUUCUCUCUUCAUGUUUAGGUAUGUUGCACCUGAAUAUGCUAACUCUGGUCUCCUAAACGAGAAGAGUGACGUGUAUAGUUUUGGUGUUGUUCUAUUGGAAGCUAUUACUGGGAGGUACCCAGUGGAUUAUGAACGGCCUAAAGAAGAGGUAAAGGAAUAGAUUUAUAUGCUUGACACAAUGAAGAUUAAGAGAUUGAAAGUUGAUUUGUUUUUGUUAUAGGUGCAUAUGGUGGAGUGGUUGAAGCUAAUGGUACAGCAGAAACAGUUUGAACAAGUGGUGGAUAAAGAGCUUGAGAUCAAACCAACGACAAGCGAACUUAAAAGAGCGCUUUUGACGGCUUUGAGAUGUGUUGAUCCUGAUGCAGACAAGAGGCCGAAGAUGAGUCAAGUUGCUCGGAUGCUUGAAUCUGAUGAGUACCCUGUGAUGCCUAGAGAGGUAUGUAGAAUGAUAACAUUUCAAAGUUCAGAGUUCAGACAGGAAAGAAACAAAACUGGAGUGUUAAUAAUCUGUUUGAUGAAUGUUUUAUUAGGAACGAAGGAGAAGGAAGCAGCCAAGAGAAAGCACAGAUACGAAUAAGGAUGAUACCAUAGCAGAUGCAAAGAUUUAAGUAACAGACUAAAACAUCAAACCCUUUUAAUGACUUUGGGGUUUAAAAGAGGGAAACAUAUAGAUUCUUUGGAGAUUGUUUAGAAUCUUUACUGUUUAUAUGAGUUUAUUAUGUGAUAUGUAUAGCGAGAACAUCAAGAUUUGUUUCUCUUGUCUAGAGGAGGAGAGAUCUUUUGUAUAGCUUUGUUGUACCUUUUUUAUUACCUUCAUACUUUCAACAUAACUGUUAAGUUUCAAGCCACUUUCGUCGGGUCGGAUUGAUUUCAAUAUUCGGUUGGGCAGCCUGUGUUUAGGUUCCGGUAUCAUGUUGAGUUUCCAUAAAGUUCCAACUUAAAAUCAAUUGGCGAUAAAGUGAAUUAACACAGUUUAUGUAUAUAUUACUUAUGUCCUGUUGAUCAUAAAACUCCUUAUGUAGAAACUUAUAUACUCACAAUAACACAUAGACAUCAAGCUCGAGAGUAGUGGCAUGGACAUGGACUUUACACCAAAUGCUGUAACCUUGUCAGAGGAUCGAGUAUCUAAGUGAAAGCAACACAAGAUCUUCAGUUGAACAGAUGGAGAGAAUGUUCACUUCACCACCUAUGCAGCAAUAAUCCAUCUUCUAAGUUAUACAAAAUGGCACAAACACAAUGAGUAUAUUAUGAAUAAUCCAUUCCUCGCAUAUUGUAUAAUUAGUAGAAACUUACAAUCGCAGGCAUGAAAUAACAUAAACAAAUAGAGCAACACCAUUCAGGUUUGGAAGUGAGACUUUCAUGUCUAUUGUGAGAAAUAAAAAGCCUAUUUUCACGAAUUUACACAAACCGGAUUCAAACAAAAACAAAUGAAAUAAGUGAUAUGAUGAAGAAGCGUGGCAUCAGAUUGGAGGACAUCAAUAAGGAUUGUUCCUGUGAGGAGUUUGAGGGGCAGAGCGAGGAGGAUUGAGGAGAGGCUGAAGAGCCUUCACCACUAUGCUCAUGUUUGGCCUGAAGUCUGCUUCGUAUUGCACACAUAACGCAGCUACAGCAGCCAGCUGAUCAAUACGACAAUAUCAUACAAGAGAGAAACCCAAAAUCAAACUCAAAAAAUUCAGACAUCAAUGCUUAGGUUCUAUAGAUAUCAGAAGAGAUCUUGUCUUUCAAUCUAGGCCUACAAUAGCUGUUGUUGCUUAUUGCGGGGAUGGAGAAGCAGUUUCUAAGUUAUGUCCUAAGGUAAAUCUUCUCUACUGAAACAAUGACAUUAUGACAAAAGGUUACCUUGGCAACAGCUUUGGGAGGAUAUUCUCCGUUUAGUCUUGCAUCAACGCAUUGCUUCACCUUGUCUUCACUCAGUUUAGGAGUUGCCUGCGACACACAUUAUGAUGAUCAAUAUGAGUAAACCAGAAAAAAGAAGAAGAGUUAAACUAAGCAUUACCCAUGUAACGAGACUCUGCUGUCCUCGUGGUAAGGUAUGAUCAACUGGCUUACGACCUGUAAGGAGCUCUAGCAGAACAACUCCAAAACUAUAGACAUCACUCUUUGUGCUCAAUGUCCCUGUCAUUGCAUACCUGAAAAUGCAGAACCAAAAAAAAAUCUUUGUGUUUAAGACUCUAGUAUGGUCAAUUAGAAGAGAUGCAAUGCAAAAUAAUGUCAAAGAUUAUUCCAAGGAAGGACUUAGUGCCUCAAAACAUAAGAUAAUAAUAACCAAAAGUCUCUGAGCACAAGUUGAAUGUAACCACAUUGAUUAGUCUGAACAAAAACAAUUCAAAUAAACAAGUAAAGGGCUUACUCUGGAGCGUGAUAACCAAACGUUCCCAGCACACGAGUUGAGUGAAGGCGAGCAGCCAUGUCAGGGGCUUGGUUGGAGAGAUCAAAAUCAGCAAUCUUGGCAACCACUUCAUCCAACUCCUCCCCAUAACCGAAACCCCUCGCCAUCAAGAUGAAAUCAAAGACAUAAGCGUUGAUCACGUCUCAUCACACAACAACAAUGGCACACCUCUAGAUGAGAAGUUCAGCGAGAGAAACAUUGAAAAUGGUGAUAAUAAUAACUAUGAGAAACAUGUUCCUACUUCAGAAACAACUCAUUCUCCUCAUCUCUCUGGUCUUCAAGAAGGCUCUCACAUUGGUUGGGGUCACUGGUUCACUCUCCGCGACCUUCAGCUGGCGACUAACCACUUCUCAAAAGAGAAUAUCAUCGGUGACGGUGGCUAUGGAGUUGUCUACCAUGGAACUUUAACUAACAAGACCCCUGUGGCUGUCAAGAAGCUGCUCAACAAUCCG